ACAGAGGGUGCAAACGUUGUUCGGAAUCACUGGGCGUAAAGGGCGCGUAGGCGGGAAGCCAAGUCGGUCGUGAAAUCUCCGGGCUUAACCCGGAGGAGUCGGCCGAAACUGGUUUUCUUGAGGGAGGCAGAGGAGUCUGGAAUUCCCGGUGUAGCGGUGAAAUGUGUAGAGAUCGGGAGGAACACCGGUGGCGAAGGCGGCCAACUGGACGAAGACUGACGCUGAGACACGAAAGCGUGGGGAGCAAACAGGA
This 253-nucleotide ribosomal RNA is filed under the name uncultured prokaryote. RNAcentral's name for it is "partial 16S ribosomal RNA". It matches the Rfam family "Bacterial small subunit ribosomal RNA", at positions 525 to 777 of the family's 1533-position model. The record is from RNAcentral.